This 403-nucleotide ribosomal RNA is filed under the name uncultured bacterium. RNAcentral describes it as "partial 16S ribosomal RNA". It matches the Rfam family "Bacterial small subunit ribosomal RNA", at positions 30 to 526 of the family's 1533-position model. The record is from RNAcentral.
AUUGAACGCUGGCGGCAGGCCUAACACAUGCAAGUCGAGCGAGCGGCGGACGGGUGAGUAAUGUAUGGGGACUGCCCGAUAGAGGGGGAUAACUACUGGAAACGGUGGCUAAUACCGCAUACUAUCGGAUAACCCAUAUGGGAUUAGCUAGUAGGUGGGGUAAAGGCUCACCUAGGCGACGAUCUCUAGCUGGUCUGAGAGGAUGAUCAGCCACACUGGGACUGAGACACGGCCCAGACUCCUACGGAGGCAGCAGUGGGGAAUCUUCGGCAAUGGGCGAAAGUCUGAUCGAGCCACGCCGCGUGAGUGAAGAAGGUUUUCGGGUCGUAAAGUUCUGUUGUUAGAGAGGCGUUAUCUGCCCAGGAAGCCCCGGCUAACUACGUGCCAGCAGCCGCGGUAAUAC